This 502-nucleotide long non-coding RNA is filed under the name Sorghum bicolor (sorghum). Its description in RNAcentral is "long non-coding RNA (SBIC_LNC010133)". The record is from RNAcentral. Lineage: Eukaryota; Viridiplantae; Streptophyta; Magnoliopsida; Poales; Poaceae.
CAUGUUGAGGUUGAAGGGGACGAAUUCCCAAUCAUCGUGGAACUUCUCGGCCAUUGGAGCAGCGAGGGACUAAACAAGCUCUAAUUGAAGAAGAAGAGAAGGCUUGGGUGGAUUGGUGUUUGAAAACUGACACCAGGGGUCUGUUUAUAUAGGGGUCAAAAAGUGCCUCUAGGGGUUGUUCGGGUUGCUCCCGUCGAUGUGCGUGCGAAACUUUCCAUCUAUAGGAUUAUUCGGAUUACCAUAAGUGUGUUUUCCAUAACGGAGGAAAUCGGGGCCGAGAGGGGUCAGGAGCUGGGCGCCCGCCCUCUCUCUGGCUCCUCUGUGGGCCCGCUUCCUCGAGCGCUGUUGACACUUGCUAACACCACUUCAAAACUAGGUUGUCAUCCCCAGCAUGGCACUAGAGUGUACUAUGGUAUUUAUACGCACACAGAUAAUCCGCAAGCGCACGGAUACCGUUGAAGCUUUUACCCGGUUAAAGGUUUUAUCGUAUCCACAGGGAAAC